RNAcentral lists this ribosomal RNA (1351 nucleotides) under human gut metagenome. Its description in RNAcentral is "bacterial LSU rRNA". It matches the Rfam family "Bacterial large subunit ribosomal RNA", at positions 1118 to 2483 of the family's 2925-position model. The record is from RNAcentral.
UUCAUUUAAAGAGUGCGUAACAGCUCACUAGUCGAGCGAUCCCGCGUGGAUAAUACACGGGCAUCAAACUGUCAACCGAAGCCGUGGGGUUAGUUAAUGACUAACCGGUAGGAGAGCAUUCCUGCCAGCUUUGAAGGUCACCCGCGAGAGUGACUGGAGCGGCAUGAAAAGCAAAUGUAGGCAUAAGUAACGAUAAUGGGGGCGAGAACCCCCCACGCCGCAAGACCAAGGAUUCCCCGGCAAUGUCAAUCAGCCGGGGGUCAGCCGGCCUCUAAGGCUCACCCGAAGGGGGAUGCCGACGAGAAACGGGUUAACAUUCCCGUGCUUCUCGUCACCGUGACGCGGUGACGGGGUGAUGAAUGGACCGCGCGCUGACGGAAUAGCGCGUUGAAGGCCGUACCCGAUGACGGUGGUAGUCAAGCACGCCACCGGAGGCGAAAGUCGAUAGUACCUCGAGGCCUCGGCCGAGGGGAUAGCGUCCAGGCAAUUUACCCCCUAGAAAACCCGCUAAACUUCAAGUGACGAGGAACCGUACUGUAAACGGACACACGUGGUCGGGUAGAACAUACCAAGGCGCUCGAGUGAUUCAUGGUCAAGGAACUAGGCAAAAUAGUCCUGUAACUUCGGGAAAAAGGACGCUCUAGUGAUAGAGCCGCAGAGUAAUGGCCCAGGCGACUGUUUACCAAAAACACAUGGCUAUGCCAAAUCGAAAGAUGACGUAUAUGGCCUGACACCUGCCCGGUGCCGGAAGGUUAAGAGGAGAGCUCAUCCGCGAGGAGAAGGUUUGAAUUGAAGCCCCGGUAAACGGCGGCCGUAACUAUAACGGUCCUAAGGUAGCGAAAUUCCUUGUCGGGUAAGUUCCGACCUGCACGAAUGGUGUAACGAUCUGGGCACUGUCUCGACCAUGAGCUCGGUGAAAUUGUAGUUCCGGUGAAGAUGCCGGGUACCCGCGACGGGACGGAAAGACCCCGUGAACCUUUACUGCAGCUUCGCGUUGUUCCCGGGCACGGGACGUGUAGGAUAGGUCGGAGGCUAGGAGUCGGUUUCGCCAGGAAUCGAGGAGCCAUCGUUGAAAUACGACCCUUCUCUUGUCUGGGAUCUAACCCUUUGUAUAGGGGACACCGCGUGGUGGGUAGUUUGACUGGGGUGGUCGCCUCCAAAAGCGUAACGGAGGCUUCCAAAGGUACCCUCGGGUUGGUUGGUAAUCAACCGUAGAGUGCAAUGGCACAAGGGUGCUUGACCGGGAGACCAACAAGUCGAUCGGGUGCGAAAGCAGGGCAUAGUGAUCCGGUGAUCCCGCGUGGAAGGGUCAUCGCUCAAAGGAUAAAAGGUACUCCGGGGAUAACAGGCU